RNAcentral lists this ribosomal RNA (253 nucleotides) under uncultured bacterium. RNAcentral's name for it is "partial 16S ribosomal RNA". It matches the Rfam family "Bacterial small subunit ribosomal RNA", at positions 524 to 776 of the family's 1533-position model. The record is from RNAcentral.
UACAGGGGGUGCAAACGUUGUUCGGAAUCAUUGGGCGUAAAGCGCACGUAGGCGGUCUGUUAUGUCGGAUGUGAAAGCCCUUGGCUUAACUGAGGAAGUGCAUCCGAAACUGGCAGGCUAGAGUACUAAAGAGGGUCGCGGAAUUCCCGGUGUAGAGGUGAAAUUCGUAGAUAUCGGGAGGAAUACCAGUGGCGAAGGCGGCGACCUGGGCCAAUACUGACGCUGAGGUGCGAAAGCGUGGGGAGCAAACAGG